UACGGAGGAUCCGAGCGUUAUCCGGAUUUAUUGGGUUUAAAGGGUGCGUAGGCGGGAUGCCAAGUCAGCGGUCAAAUACGGGGGCUCAACCUGCGUCCGCCGUUGAAACUGGCAGACUUGAGUUGGCGAGAAGUACGCGGAAUGCGCGGUGUAGCGGUGAAAUGCAUAGAUAUCGCGCAGAACCCCGAUUGCGAAGGCAGCCUGCCGGCCCCACACUGACGCUGAGGCACGAAAGCGUGGGUAUCGAACAGG
This 252-nucleotide ribosomal RNA is filed under the name uncultured Bacteroidales bacterium. Its description in RNAcentral is "partial 16S ribosomal RNA". It matches the Rfam family "Bacterial small subunit ribosomal RNA", at positions 524 to 776 of the family's 1533-position model. The record is from RNAcentral. Lineage: Bacteria; Pseudomonadati; Bacteroidota; Bacteroidia; Bacteroidales.